This 253-nucleotide ribosomal RNA is filed under the name uncultured bacterium. RNAcentral describes it as "partial 16S ribosomal RNA". It matches the Rfam family "Bacterial small subunit ribosomal RNA", at positions 524 to 776 of the family's 1533-position model. The record is from RNAcentral.
UACGUAGGGUGCAAGCGUUAUCCGGAAUUAUUGGGCGUAAAGAGCUCGUAGGCGGUUUGUCGCGUCUGCUGUGAAAACUGGAGGCUCAACCUCCAGCCUGCAGUGGGUACGGGCAAACUAGAGUGCGGUAGGGGAGAUUGGAAUUCCUGGUGUAGCGGUGGAAUGCGCAGAUAUCAGGAGAAACACCGAUGGCGAAGGCAGAUCUCUGGGCCGUAACUGACGCUGAGGAGCGAAAGCAUGGGGAGCGAACAGG